GAUGAACGCUGGCGGCGUGCCUAAUACAUGCAAGUCGAGCGAACAGACGAGGAGCUUGCUCCUUCGACGUUAGCGGCGGACGGGUGAGUAACACGUAGGUAACCUACCUAUAAGACUGGGAUAACUUCGGGAAACCGGAGCUAAUACCGGAUAAUAUUUCGAACCGCAUGGUUCGAUAGUUAAAGAUGGCUUUGCUAUCACUUAUAGAUGGACCUGCGCCGUAUUAGCUAGUUGGUAAGGUAACGGCUUACCAAGGCAACGAUACGUAGCCGACCUGAGAGGGUGAUCAGCCACACUGGAACUGAGACACGGUCCAGACUCCUACGGGAGGCAGCAGUAGGGAAUCUUCCGCAAUGGGCGAAAGCCUGACGGAGCAACGCCGCGUGAGUGAUGAAGGUCUUCGGAUCGUAAAACUCUGUUAUUAGGGAAGAACAACCGUGUAAGUAACUGUGCACGUCUUGACGGUACCUAAUCAGAAAGCCACGGCUAACUACGUG
RNAcentral lists this ribosomal RNA (497 nucleotides) under uncultured bacterium. Its description in RNAcentral is "partial 16S ribosomal RNA". It matches the Rfam family "Bacterial small subunit ribosomal RNA", at positions 28 to 507 of the family's 1533-position model. The record is from RNAcentral.